AAAUAAAAAAAAAAAAUGAACAAACACCAGCAGUAACUUCACCCUCUAAUUCCUACCAAUUCAGCUUUAGAGUUUCUCCCUAUUUUCCAUGUUCUUUUCUUCUCCCUCUUUUUCUUCCAUUUCCUCGCGUCUACUGCAAGCUCCUCGAUCAGUCGUCUCAACUGGGUCCUCUUGCACUCCCAUUCCUGGUUUCCAAAUUUAUCUCCAUUAUUUUCCAUAAAACCUCUUUUUCCUUGUGAUUGGAUUCAUGUGAUAGGAGGCCCUUGUUUUCCAGUACGACACUUUUGUUCCACCCGUGAGUUCACUUCAAAAAUUCCUCCUCUGUUCUUAAUUCUCAAAGCCCAUUCCAGCUGUUGGUCAAAAUAAGCAGGCAGCUCAAGAGGAAAGGUGCAUUGAGUUUUUAAAGAUUUUUGGCUAAUUAUAAUUUUGAGUAACAAUUAAUUUUUAUGAGCACUUAAUAAAUAUGACUUGAGAGACAUUAAAUGAUAAAAACAAU
Molecule: long non-coding RNA, 496 nt
Filed under: Carica papaya (papaya)
Lineage: Eukaryota; Viridiplantae; Streptophyta; Magnoliopsida; Brassicales; Caricaceae
Description: long non-coding RNA (CPAP_LNC000812)
Source: RNAcentral